ACCAUGGUGGCUUAGUGGUUUGCGCACCUGCCUAAUAAGCAGGAGACCCAGAUUCGAUUCCUGGCCUUGGUA
This is a non-coding RNA of Schistocerca gregaria, 72 nucleotides long. The record is from the annotation of a RefSeq genome assembly. Lineage: Eukaryota; Metazoa; Arthropoda; Insecta; Orthoptera; Acrididae.